This 253-nucleotide ribosomal RNA is filed under the name uncultured bacterium. RNAcentral's name for it is "partial 16S ribosomal RNA". It matches the Rfam family "Bacterial small subunit ribosomal RNA", at positions 524 to 776 of the family's 1533-position model. The record is from RNAcentral.
UACAGAGACUGCAAGCGUUAUUCGGAUUCACUGGGCGUAAAGGGUGCGCAGGCGGCCAUGUGUGUGAGGCGUGAAAGCCCGAUGCUUAACAUCGGAAUUGCACCUCAAACUACAUGGCUAGAGCAUUGGAGAGGGUAGCGGAAUUCACGGUGUAGCAGUGAAAUGCGUAGAUAUCGUGAGGAACACCAGAGGCGAAGGCGGCUACCUGGACCAUUACUGACGCUGAGGCGCGAAAGCUAGGGGAGCAAACGGG